Molecule: non-coding RNA, 1181 nt
Organism: Pelobates cultripes (western spadefoot toad)
Lineage: Eukaryota; Metazoa; Chordata; Amphibia; Anura; Pelobatidae
Source: the annotation of a GenBank genome assembly
CUGCAAGCGCGAGUUGGCCGUACGGGUGCGAGCAGCGGUCAGGAGGUGGUCACGGGCAGAGCGGAGGGUACGAGGAGGGGCAUAUCUAUGGAUUAGUGAAGAGAUAUAAGUGGGGCUAGAAUUGUUCAGUGCUUUAAAUGUGUGGGUUAGAACUUUGAAUUGACUCCUAUAGCAUACAGGGAGCCAAUGUAAGGACUGGCAGAGGGGUGAGGUGUGAGAAGACCGACUAGAGAGGAAAAUCAGUCUAGCUGCAGCAUUCAUGACAGACUGUAGCGGGGCAAUACGGCUUUUGGGGAGACCAAUCAGGAGAGGGUUACAGUAAUCCGUGCGGGAAAUUACAAGAGCAUGGACAAGCUCCUUGGUAGCAUCUUGCGUAAGAAAGGGGCGAAUGCGGGCUAUGUUUUUGAGUUGGAACCUACAGGACUUGGCAACAAACUGGAUGGGAGGCUCAAAGGUGAGACCAGAGUCAAGUAUGACGCCAAGACAGCGCGCUUGCAGGGAUGGACUUAUGUGGAUAUCACUGAGUUGAAGGGAGAGCGAGAGAGGAGGAUCAGUAUUAGGAGGAGGAAAGACAAGGAGUUCAGUUUUAGAGAGGUUAAGUUUCAGAAAGCGUGAGGACAUCCAGUCUGAGAUGGAAGAAAGGCAAGCAGUGACACGUUGCAGGACGGCAGGGGAGAGGUCCGGGGAGGAGAGGUAUAUGAGUGUCAUCAGCGUACAGGUGGUAGUGGAAUCCAAAAGAGGCAAUAAGUUUGCCUUGAGAGGCAGUAUAAAGAGAAACGUUCAGUACUCUAGAUGUUUUGCACUACAUCUCCAUAAUUCUCUAACAGCAAUAAUGCUGGCAAUGCAUUAUGGGAGAUGUAGCCGACAAAAUCUGGAGUGCCGAAGGUUGCCUACCCCUAGUUUAUAGUGUUUUACAGAUGGCACAGGUUAGCAGUUUUUCUUACAGGGUUAGCAAAAGUGUUGCCAGUCAACACAGCAUUGUUAAUGGCAUUGAACAUGGAAUACUGCAAGCUAUUUAUAGGCAGACAUAGCUCGAUCAACAUUUGACAGAUAUUCUGUGCUACGGUCAGGCAUUGAGGUGCGGGAGAGGGAUCACUGCAUCAAUAGAGGAGAAAGCUGCAGAACAGAUUGAGAAAUUGUAUACAGAGACUGCAUUGCAUGCUGUACGGCUGUGAAUGACA